AUUGAACGCUGGCGGCAGGCUUAACACAUGCAAGUCGAGCGGGGUGAUGGUGCUUGCACUAUCACUUAGCGGCGGACGGGUGAGUAAUGCUUAGGAAUCUGCCUAUUAGUGGGGGACAACAUCUCGAAAGGGAUGCUAAUACCGCAUACGUCCUACGGGAGAAAGCAGGGGAUCACUUGUGACCUUGCGCUAAUAGAUGAGCCUAAGUCGGAUUAGCUAGUUGGUGGGGUAAAGGCCUACCAAGGCGACGAUCUGUAGCGGGUCUGAGAGGAUGAUCCGCCACAAUGGGACUGAGACACGGCCCAGACUCCUACGGGAGGCAGCAGUGGGGAAUAUUGGACAAUGGGGGGAACCCUGAUCCGGCCAUGCCGCGUGUGUGAAGAAGGCCUUAUGGUUGUAAAGCACUGUAAGCGGGGAGGAGGCUCUUUUGGUUAAUACCCAAGAUGAGUGGACGUUACUCGCAGAAUAAGCACCGGCUAACUCUGUGCCAGCCGCCGCCGUAA
RNAcentral lists this ribosomal RNA (503 nucleotides) under uncultured bacterium. RNAcentral's name for it is "partial 16S ribosomal RNA". It matches the Rfam family "Bacterial small subunit ribosomal RNA", at positions 30 to 523 of the family's 1533-position model. The record is from RNAcentral.